This 510-nucleotide ribosomal RNA is filed under the name uncultured Glomus. RNAcentral's name for it is "SSU rRNA". It matches the Rfam family "Eukaryotic small subunit ribosomal RNA", at positions 569 to 1081 of the family's 1831-position model. Lineage: Eukaryota; Fungi; Glomeromycota; Glomeromycetes; Glomerales; Glomeraceae. The record is from RNAcentral.
AGCAGCCGCGGUAAUUCCAGCUCCAAUAGCGUAUAUUAAAGUUGUUGCAGUUAAAAAGCUCGUAGUUGAAUUUCGGGGUCAAUACGUCGGUCGUGCCUUCGGUACGUACUGGUGUUAUUGAUCUCUCCCUUCUGAUGAAUCAUGAUGUCAUUAAUUUGGUGUCGUGGGGAGUCAGGACUGUUACUUUGAAAAAAUUAGAGUGUUUAAAGCAGGCUCACGCUUGAAUACAUUAGCAUGGAAUAAUGAAAUAGGACGUUCGAUCCUAUUUUGUUGGUUUCUAGGAUCAACGUAAUGAUUAAUAGGGAUAGUUGGGGGCAUUAGUAUUCAAUUGUCAGAGGUGAAAUUCUUGGAUUUAUUGAAGACUAACUACUGCGAAAGCAUUUGCCAAGGAUGUUUUCAUUAAUCAAGAACGAAAGUUAGGGGAUCGAAGACGAUCAGAUACCGUCGUAGUCUUAACCAUAAACUAUGCCGACUAGGGAUCGGAUGAUGUUAAUUUUUAAUGACUCAUUC